This 445-nucleotide ribosomal RNA is filed under the name uncultured bacterium. RNAcentral's name for it is "bacterial SSU rRNA". It matches the Rfam family "Bacterial small subunit ribosomal RNA", at positions 331 to 793 of the family's 1533-position model. The record is from RNAcentral.
CCAGACUCCUACGGGAGGCAGCAGUGGGGAAUAUUGCACAAUGGGGGAAACCCUGAUGCAGCGACGCCGCGUGAGUGAAGAAGUAAUUCGUUAUGUAAAGCUCUAUCAGCAGGGAAGAAAAUGACGGUACCUGAGUAAGAAGCCCCGGCUAACUACGUGCCAGCAGCCGCGGUAAUACGUAGGGGGCAAGCGUUAUCCGGAUUUACUGGGUGUAAAGGGAGCGUAGACGGCAGAGCAAGUCUGAAGUGAAAGCCCGCGGCCCAACUGCGGGACUGCUUUGGAAACUGCCCGGCUAGAGUGCUGGAGAGGUAAGCGGAAUUCCUAGUGUAGCGGUGAAAUGCGUAGAUAUUAGGAGGAACACCAGUGGCGAAGGCGGUCUGCUGGACAGCAACUGACGCUGAGGCGCGAAAGCGUGGGGAGCAAACAGGAUUAGAUACCCGCGUAU